GGAGGAGGAACUCUGUGGUAGAGUGCUUGCUUUUCAUGUAAGAGGCCCUGGGUUCCAUCCCCAGCAGCUCCU
This 72-nucleotide transfer RNA is filed under the name Dipodomys ordii (Ord's kangaroo rat). It matches the Rfam family "tRNA". Rfam says of the family: Transfer RNA (tRNA) molecules are approximately 80 nucleotides in length. Their secondary structure includes four short double-helical elements and three loops (D, anti-codon, and T loops). The record is from Rfam by way of RNAcentral. Lineage: Eukaryota; Metazoa; Chordata; Mammalia; Rodentia; Heteromyidae.